AUGGAGGCGUGCUUCCUCCCCACCGACCUGCUGGUGGAGAUCCUGCUGCGGCUCCCGCCCAGCGCCCGCCGCCGCGCCCGCCUCGUCUGCAAACUCUGGCGCGACUUCGUCGCCGAGCACACCACGGAGAUGCAGAGCCGCGCCAAGGUCCUCCUCUGGCACGCCGGCUCCGCCGCCGCCUACGUCGUCGACGACCUCUCCUCCUCUUCCACGGGGAGCUACACGGAGCUGUGGCGAAUCGCCCGCUUGCCCGGCGAGCGCACGUAUUACUACUCGGAUGAGGUGCAGCUGGUCGGCACCUGCAACGGCCUCCUCUGCAUAUGCGACAACCGCGGCGAGAGGACCGGCGGCACCGUCACCCUCGUCAACCCGGCAACUGGGGAGAAGCUGCCCGUCCCGCCGCUACCGGGUGCCGCCCAGUUCGCGCUGGACUACCACUGCCAGAGGUGGGACAGGGCGUACAGCUUCGCCUACCACCCGACGUCCGGGCAGUACAAGGUGGUGCACGUCCCCUGCAGCUUCGACCGGGUCUGCGACUACGACGCCGCGCAUGUGCUCACGCUGGGGGAGGCGGCCUGGCGGGAGGCGCCGGGCACCAAUGGCAAGAGAUGCAACCUCCACGCCGGCGUCGUCAGUGUCGACGGCGUGACAUACUGGGUCACAGACGGUGGCACCGCGAGGAUUGUCUCGUUCGACCUCGACAAUGAGCACGUUGCCGCCUCCGCCAUAGAGUUGCCUUCUCUGCCGGACAAGCCUGACGACUACAACCUGACCGAGGUGGACGGGAGGCUGGGGGUCGUCAUCCGCAGCCCCUCCGGGACAAGGGAGGCGUGGGUUCGGGAGCAGGGGAAGUGGAUCUGCCGGUACGUCCUCAGGUGCAAAUGGCAGCAGAUUCCACGCCCGUACUUCGCGCACGGCGAAUACUUCUUGAAGCUUGAGGGCAGGUUGUUGUAUGGGUACUCACGGAAGUCCGGCGUCGUGAAGGUUAGUCACAAGGAUAAGGGAAGGCUGGUUGCCAAGAUGAAAGAUGAUAACUACGGUUCUAACUACCAAACCUUUGCGUAUGUGAGGACUUCUGAGCCAUUAGGUGUUUACGAUGCAACCAAGUAG
This 1110-nucleotide ribosomal RNA is filed under the name Triticum aestivum (bread wheat). Its description in RNAcentral is "partial small subunit ribosomal RNA". The record is from RNAcentral. Lineage: Eukaryota; Viridiplantae; Streptophyta; Magnoliopsida; Poales; Poaceae.